ACAGCCAACCGAGCUCGAGUUGGAGCAGGCUUUCCACCAGGGGAAGUAACAUGCUGCCAUAACAAGCAGCCAAGGAGCUGCGUGAUUUCUACUUGAAAACUGCGAUCGACACUGAAAAAAUAUAUUCUUUCUGUGAAACUUUAUUGAACUAUUUCUUUCUGCUUGAAACAAAUACUACUAUUGUUCUUGCCUUGUUGGAUACAUUGCCUUGUAUGCGUGACU
This 222-nucleotide long non-coding RNA is filed under the name Actinidia chinensis (golden kiwifruit). RNAcentral describes it as "long non-coding RNA (ACHI_LNC000974)". The record is from RNAcentral. Lineage: Eukaryota; Viridiplantae; Streptophyta; Magnoliopsida; Ericales; Actinidiaceae.